Xyrichtys novacula (pearly razorfish) is the source of this 99-nucleotide non-coding RNA. The record is from the annotation of a GenBank genome assembly. NCBI's taxonomy places the organism in Eukaryota, Metazoa, Chordata, Actinopteri, Labriformes, Labridae.
GAAAACAUAGCACAAAAAAACAACACAAAAAGAGAAAACACAAUGGUUAAUGAUGUUGUGUUUUCCCUUUUUGUGUUGUUUUUUUGUGUGUGUUGUGUU